GUUGUAAGUUAGAGGCCAGUCUGGGCAAAUUAACAAGAAACAAAAAAAAUAAAAAUAAAAAGAGCUGGAGAUAUAGCUCAGUGGCAUAAUGUCCCUGGAUUCAGCUCAAUCCCUGGUGCCACAUAUACACAAAGUACCAGCUCUCUUCAAAAUACUCUCCUCAACUCACAGGAACGUGAUGCUCUGUGGUUCACAGUGUGCUUACACAACUCCUCCUGCCAGUCACGACAGCCCUAUUUUGAAGAUGAAGAUAAGACUCAGGCAAAAAGGAUUCUUACAAGACCAUGAGGCAGGACUCACCAAGCCUUCUAACUUAGAGACACAGUUCUCACUUCCCCCAGGGGCCUCCCUUGUCCUGGUCUGUGUUUCCUUGACUCUGGACACCAGCAAAUAGUGACUGGAAUUCUUAGAAACUCCCCUACCUUUGACCUUCUGUCCCUGACCAGAGACUCCCUCAUCUCUUGGUUGUCUACUCCUGAAGUCCACACUGCAGGUCCCUCGGGGGCUUCCAUGACAACCUCUAUCCUUUCUCUUCUGUCCUCUCAAUCUUCAGCACAUCCAUCUAUGAUAGGCACUAUCAUCAUUCUCCCCAUUCCAUGACUGAGGAGACCGCUGUCACAGGGUGAGGAAGCUGCUCAAGAUGGUCCCAGGCAUAUGGGAGGGAAGGGGGAUUUGGACUCUGAGCCACAAUUAACACCUGCUUCCCUGAGGUAUGCUGGAGCCAGGUUGGACUCUGGGGAAGGAUCAGGAAUGAGCCAGAUGUCUCCCAGAAAUCCUUGAGGCCAUCUCUGACAGUGAAAGCCAUGCACAGAACAAGAAUUCAGGGCAGGCCGGGAUGGGGGCUGGACCUAGAGGUGCAAACCCUGGGGGAGCCUCGAGGAAGGAGGAGAGAGAAAUUCCUGGGAAUUUGCUAAAAAUAAAGAUGUUUCAGACCCCAUCCUCAGAGAUGAGACUACAUUAAGCUGGGCAGGAGUCCAGGCAGCCAUCGGUUCAGUAAGCCCCCAGGUUAGGGAGUCCUGCCUAGAGCAUCACUGUCCCGGUUCCCACGGUCACACAGGGAGCCAACCUCAGGCUCCCCACUUCCCCAUCCUCUCCCCUGACUCAGCUAGAUCAAUAUUGACCAUCAGCCCCUCCCCUGCCUCUAAACUCCUGCCAACCCAAGCCCAGAAGCUCUCUGAGACCCUGACCAUGGUCAGUAAAGUCAAGGUCAAAGCAAAGCUUAGGGUUCAGAUGGUUUUCCUUUUUUUAAUAUUUAUUUUUAAAUUAUAGGUGGACACAAUAUCCUUAUUUUAUAUUUAUGUGGUGCUGAGGAUCGAACCCAGAGUCUCACACGUGCNAGGCAGUUCUGGACGCCCUUCUAGGGCAGGACCAGCAUCAGCGAGGCCUCAGUCCCCAGAGGGAGUGGCCUGUGGCUAAAGGAGCCAAACUUUCCAUGAGCCACCAGCAAAAAAUGAGUCUGGAAAAAGUGGCCACCGCAGACCCUGAGGCUGCACAACCCAGGUCACAUGAGAUUCAGAGGGGACUGCAACUGUCUUAACUCUUUGCUGGUUGCCCCCAGAGCCACCAGAGAACUGUGCUUGAUUUGCCACUUCCUCGUGCAGAGGUGUGAGUGACAAGUCUCUGUUCUGGAAGAGUUGGUGGUGGGGCAGAGACCAUGGACACAAAUGGGUUCCUUCAAUUAAUAGAUGUGGGUCUUAUGCCACCAAGACCCAGGCCAGUGCAGAGGCCCAGAACAUUAUCCCCACCCCCUUAUGAGAUUGCUACAGAGGAGGAAAAGGAAAACUUUGAAGAAACUACAGUUUAGACAAGUGAAGUGACCCCCGCCUGGAUUGCAUGGCUCAGGAGGGAGGAGCUGAGAGUGGGCCUAGGUCUGUGGCUAGACCAUCUGAGCCCUCUGCACAAUCUCCUGCUGCCACCCUGGGCUCUGAGUUCCCAGGAACGUGAUCAAAGAGUCUUAACUACACAGAAAGAAGAUGCAUUGUCUCUGAAAUAUGGGAGUGCCCUUUCCGGGCAAGGUUGGGCCAUCGGGACUCACCAGAUAUAGGGCUGAGUCAGACCCCCUGAAGAUUCUAGGAGUCCACAGCUGGUUGGGAACUGAGGAAGGCUUAUGGAGGAGGUGUCUUCAGGAGGUAUCUAAAAGGAUGGCUAGGAUUCUAGCGGGUGGAUGGGAAGACAUGGGGUCAGGGAGGAAGCAGGAUCGCGUGGGCCUGCUUAGGGUAUAGCGAGGACUUGAACCUGGUUAGGGUAGUGGAGGGGAGCCCAGAGGGUGGAGCCUGCAGAGGACCAAACACUAAUGUAACCAGUGUGACUCCUGGUGUCUGUUGACCCUCGCCUGACCUUGGGAAUCUGGCUGUCCCUAAUGGAGUGGUAAGGAGCCCCUCCCCCUCCU
Molecule: long non-coding RNA, 2389 nt
Filed under: Marmota monax (woodchuck)
Lineage: Eukaryota; Metazoa; Chordata; Mammalia; Rodentia; Sciuridae
Source: RNAcentral